GUAGCUCAGUGGUAGAGCGCAUGCUUCGCAUGUAUGAGGCCCCGGGUUCGAUCCCCGGC
This 59-nucleotide transfer RNA is filed under the name Mesocricetus auratus (golden hamster). It matches the Rfam family "tRNA", at positions 7 to 64 of the family's 71-position model. Rfam says of the family: Transfer RNA (tRNA) molecules are approximately 80 nucleotides in length. Their secondary structure includes four short double-helical elements and three loops (D, anti-codon, and T loops). Further hydrogen bonds mediate the characteristic L-shaped molecular structure. tRNAs have two regions of fundamental functional importance: the anti-codon, which is responsible for specific mRNA codon recognition, and the 3' end, to which the tRNAs corresponding amino acid is attached (by aminoacyl-tRNA synthetases). tRNAs cope with the degeneracy of the genetic code in two manners: having more than one tRNA (with a specific anti-codon) for a particular amino acid; and 'wobble' base-pairing, i.e. permitting non-standard base-pairing at the 3rd anti-codon position. Lineage: Eukaryota; Metazoa; Chordata; Mammalia; Rodentia; Cricetidae. The record is from Rfam by way of RNAcentral.